This 1923-nucleotide long non-coding RNA is filed under the name Salmo salar (Atlantic salmon). RNAcentral describes it as "lncRNA (ENSSSAG00000090259.1, ENSSSAG00000105964.1)". The record is from RNAcentral. Lineage: Eukaryota; Metazoa; Chordata; Actinopteri; Salmoniformes; Salmonidae.
GUUCACACGAAUGGGGGGAGAAUUUUGGCAGGGGAGAGAUUUUCGGCACAACACCGCCAAAUCGUACCAAUAUAUCCUUCAAACACCGGCGUCGAGGGCAUUAUCACUUUUAUACAACUCAAAUAAUGAUCGAAAUAUUUUCAUUCAAAACGUUAUUUUUUAUUAAUUUAUAAUUUCAUCCUUACACAAGAUAUAGUCCCGAGACCAAUCUAGGGUUGCUAACCAAGCCGGCUGGGCGUUCGUUCUAUUGGUUUGGUUGCCAGAGACGCGACCCAGUUGUUCAGUCUUUUUGUUCUGUAUCUAUGGGCACGACCCAGUCGUUCAUUCUAAAUGUUCCAUUGCCUUACUGGCUGGCAACGUCCUUAUCCCUUGCUUGCUAGCUAGCCAAUUUACAGUCACGUCAAACAGUGCAGACAGAAAAACAACAGUAGCUGCAUUUGUUUAAGCUGUUUUCUAGUGACAUUUAUUUGGAUUCAUCCAUAACAAUGAGCUAAUGUUAUGUGAGGCGCGAUUUCGUCAGGACACUUGUUCAGAGGAGCUAGCCAACACAAUCACUUCACAUUUUAACUGGAAAGACUGCAAACUACAGUAGCUGCACUUUUUUUCAAUUGCCAUUUUGUGAUGCCAGCUGAUUCAUGAUUUCGACUGGCUGAGAAACGCUGCCUGCCUGUCAAUCUCGUCCCGACUCGUUCAUUACUAUGGGACAGCUGUAGAUUGAAUUUGAAUAUUGAAACAAUAUUGCAAAUAUCGGAGAGACAGACAGCAAGGUUUAUACAAAUUGACUUCAGGGUGCAGUUCGCGGCCGGGCUCAAUGUGGGCGGAGUCAAACGUCGGGGCCGGGCUCAAUGUGGGCGGAGUCAAACGCGUUUAACCCAAAACCUUCCCGUCUCCUUCGAGGUCAAGCAAGUUGAGAAACAUUCCUCGGAUCUUGUCCCCUGGACCUUGGAGGACUUUUGUGGAUGAUGAUCAGGGCCUACCAAAGCAAGGUUUCUCAAACAACUGUGGGGUGUUUGUUUUGAUGUACAAUAAAUACAUGAUGAGCACUCAACACACUGCGCCUUGGUCUACUCCCUUCGACGGCCGUUACAGUGCAGAAAACAUGCAGCAAAUUAGGCGAUGUUGAUGCCUUAUUCUCCUGCAGAACUUUCCCAUGCCGCCGGUGGUAGCUGGUCCGCUUCAAGAAGCUGAGGUACGGGAGGUCCCUCCGCACCCCCUGGACAUCGUGGGGGCCCCGGCGUAUGCAGUGCGAUCCAUACUGGAUUCCAGGCCUCAGGUGAGGGGCCUGCAGUACCUUGUGGAUUGGGAGGGGUAUGGUCCAGAGGAGAGAUGCUGGGUGCCGGUGGAGGAUGUCUUGGACCCAUCUCUGCUUAGUGAGUUUCACCGCCUCCAUCCGGAUCGCCCUGCGCCAAGUCCUCCGGGUCGUCCUCGAGGCCGGAGCCGCGCGUCAGGGGUGGUACUGUCACAACUUCCACCGAAGGUGGCUCCUCUCCCUGUUCGGGCGGUGCUCGGCGGUCGUUGUUGCCGGCCUACUAGCUGCUACCGAUGCAUUUUUCGUUUGUGUCUGUCUGUUUUGUUUACACCUGUGUCCUAUUAGUUAAUUUCGGUUGGUUUAUUAACCUCCGCUGCCUGCUAUUCUUUGUGCGGGAUUAUUUGCUGUUGUUGCUCUGCUAGGGGUGCGUGUUUGCACCACAGGGUUUUCUUCCUCACGGUUGUGUUGUACCGUUUGUAGUGUAUUUAGGAGUAGAGGUUUCUCCUCCGUGUGUUACGUUUAUUUCCCUGUGUGUGGCGACUUGGUUGGGUGUGUUUCCCCACCUGUUGUUGUCGUGUUUUGGGACGUUCAAUAAACGAUUGUGCUACUGGAAAUUCCUUGCUCUCCUGCUCCUGACUCCUGCACCUACCUCUUCUUAGGAGGCACCUAACGAG